This 723-nucleotide long non-coding RNA is filed under the name Ananas comosus (pineapple). RNAcentral describes it as "long non-coding RNA (ACOM_LNC017591)". Lineage: Eukaryota; Viridiplantae; Streptophyta; Magnoliopsida; Poales; Bromeliaceae. The record is from RNAcentral.
GGAUUAAUAAUUUUUUUUUCGUCUUUGGCAGAGAUGGGAGUGGGGCGCGGGGUGUGAGAGGGAGAGGGAGUCAUUUCGUCCUUAUACUCCAAAUAAAAAAAUCUCCUAUAGUAUAUAAGAAUAAGUGUACAAUUUACCUAUUUUUACUGCUAAUGUGUUUAAGACAAUGAACAUGCCCAUUGACUAUAUGUCAAAUCCAUUUACCUACACAAAUUAAAAAAAGUAAGAUUAAUUACCUUGCUGAAUUUGUUUCCUUUUUAGGAUAGGAAGAUUUAUUCCCAAUUAGUCCAUUUACCUACACAAAUUAAAAGAAGUAAAAUUAAUUAUCAGACAUAUUGAAUUUAUUUUUUCUUAAGAAUAGAAAGAUUUAUUCUCAUAUAAAAUAUCAUAAUAUACUUUUGGAAAAUGUAUUUGCUCAUUUUAAAUAUAAAUAUGCAUAAGAAAAUCAAAAAUAUGCUUGGCCUCCGCCGUUGUGGUGAUCGCCUUCGCCGCUGCCGCCUAUGGCUCCGUCACCGUGCUCUUUGUCCUCUUCUACGAAAACUUAUAGGUAAACGAAGCCCACAUAUACCUCGAGGCUCGAGUUCGUCGACUUCUAUGAGAGUAAGUAUCGAUUUCUCCAGCGUAACAGCGUCGAAGAGGGAAUCAUAGGGGUCACGCUCCACAGCCGCCGGUGGCACUACAUAGGCGGGAGGAGGUGAGGGCGCGGAGGUGGAUGAGGUGAAG